GUAUAUACAUAAGGAGAGAAGAGGCUUGCAGACAGAAGAAAUUGGAGAACGUUGAAGCAGAAGGCCGAUGAAGUCCACGACGGUCUCCCUCAGAGCCAUGACUUUCAUCAGGACCUUCCUCCUCAAAGAGAAUGCGGACCGCACGUAGAAAGAUGUAGCCACCCACAAAUAGCCCUAUGGCAUGCGCGGCCCCAAGCCACAUGAUGGCCUGACUGAGGGCAUCUAUUUCGACCAGCUUCAACCGUCAACCGACUAGUUCUCUGCUGACUGGCUGGCAAGAGGCGCAGUCUAACCGAUGGGGACCCGUCGCUAGCAGUCUGUUGUAAGACAGGGCGGCCACCUAGUAACAUGGGAGUAAAUACGACCUCAUAGUAGGGAGCCGCCAUCUUGAAAAAACGUCAGCUCUCUUGUGUCCUUGUGACGUCAUGAUACCGGCGUGGCCAUAUAUAAAAUGUGAGUUCAAUUCAGAACCAAAUGCAGUCCAAAGGAGGCUAUGGAGGAGGCAUGUCUGCAAAUGUUCAAAUGCAGCUUGUAGAUACAAAGGCAGGAUAACUGGGGCACAUAUUUCCAGUUCUUAUGAAUUUCUUUAAUCUUCAUCAUAAAGAUGAAGUCAUUCCUUGGAGGGAGAUGGUCCAUUUUUAAAUGCCUGCUUACUCUGGCGGUUGGAUUUGCCUCUUGUGAGGAGUGGUGGCGGCAGCUGUAUUCUCCCACGUCUGUGUUGUUAUGCCUCUCGACGUACAGCCUUCCAAUUGUGGCAUAGAUAUUAUGCAUUUUAUAGUGCGAUUCAAUCAGUAUGGAGUUGUGUUUUUCUUCACACAGCUUUUCAGAGGCAGCAUAUGCCUUCUCAGUUGCCUGGUGGUAGCGAUGUAUUUUAGUAAGAUCAUUCGAUCUAUGCGCACGGCUCAGAGUCACUGGUGGAUGUUUGUCAUGCUUCCUGCUUUGCUAACAAGAGCAAUUAGUCCAAUAGAAGUGACGAACAGUUUUGCUUGUGGUUUGAAAUCCAAAGUGCUAUGCUGGCCCCAACAAAUGCACAUCCCGUUCCCAACAGGAAAAGACUAACGGUGUCUAUUUCGAUCAUUUCCUUGCUUGAUCUUUUUCCUCCUUAUCCUUCCUGUUAAAAGGAGACUUUAAGUCUCACAUGGGAACUUGCACGUUUUUCCUGGGGAAGAAAAAGCAAACAGAUCAGAAUGGAGAAAGACAGACAAACACCUUACUUCUCCCCUUGCUGACCUUUAUUAAUUAUUUCCCUCUUAGUUCCUUUUAAAUCCCCCUUUUCCCUUUAUUUAUAUAACUUUAUAAAUAAAGUUACACUACCUUCUUUACAUGUCCUCCAAACGUAACAAUUACAUCAUAGUUAUGUCCUCCAGACACAGCCCUGCGCCAUUUUUUCCUUAGGGCCUUCCUAUUCUCCCCCCCCCCUCCCUUCGCAAAAGCCAAAUCUACCCCAAUUAACCUGUCCCUUCCCCACCACCUGUUACCUGUUACAGCAUUUCUUUGAGUGGUCAUCUGCGAAUUCACACAAAUCCCACACAGUCGUGCCCUGCCUGCCUCUCCUUUGGUCCUGGGCUGCUGCUACUCUGCGUCCAUGGAACUGAGGGCUUAGGCGGUAAACCGACUGAUAAUGGCAGUUGGAGAGUGGGUGGGGCUACCGCCAAAAUGCCUUUACUAUCUCCAAGAAGGUUCCGGAGCUAACUCUGCAGGCACAGAAUAGCCACUCGAAGAAAUACUGUUACAGGUAAGCAACCUGUCCAUCUGCUGGUUUUCUAACCAGCUUAAAACAUCUGGAGUAUCCUGAGUAUACAAGAACUGGCAGCAGCUGAGUGAAGGGCAUGACCUGGGACUCCUGGACUUAAAAGGGACCCCCCCCCCUUAUCCCUGAGAAGACUGGGCAGGAAUCCCUCUAGAGACCCUGAAAGCCAGCGAGUGAAGUGAAGGAGCCUAUAAUCCUAUUACCUGUGUUUCUCUUCAAAAUUUAGACAAACACCCCACUAACUCUAUUAAGUUUGUGAUUAAAAUUUUGAUACAAGAAGCAGAAAUACUGGGAUAUAUAGAUUCCUCUACAGCCUUGUUUCUAAUACAAGAAUAUCCUCGUAUCAGACUGCAAUUCCAUGCUACAUUUUGCUAGUUGUCACCCUCGUCAAUUGAAAAAAAAAAUUACCAUAUUCCCAAUUCCUUAGAUUAAAAAGGUAUUCUUCCACCAACAUCCAUUAUGAGAUGGCAGCUGACCAAUAUCAAUUGGAGUUACAGGAUAGAGCUUUUCCUCCUUAUAUAGUACAAGAUGCUAGGAACAGAGCUACCCCAAAGGAUCGUUCCACGUUAUUUCUUUCCUCGAACAGAAACACAGGUAAUAGGAUUAUAGGCUCCUUCACUUUUAAUCAUGGUGCUCAUCGUAUUAAACAUAUCAUACGAAAACAUUGGCACAUGGUACAGAAUAUUCCAGGCUGUUCGCAGGCACCCAUUAUAGCUUUCAGGAGAACUAGAAAUCUUAAAGGCUCUUUAGUUCACACAGAUUUUCAAGUAGGUGCUCAAGAGAUAUCCCAUGUUAGAAGACGCUACAAAUGUGGUCAUUGUAGCUGUUGUAAACUAUCUUUAAAUAUCAUCCAAUAACAAAGGAAUGCUUUGAGUUGAAAUCAUUUACUAACUGCAAUUCUCUAAAUGUUAUCUAUGUGAUUGUAUGUCCGUGUCAGAAAAUGUAUGUAGGUCAAACUACUAGACCAUUAAGAACUAGAAUUUCCGAACAUAAAAGUACUAUUCGGAAUAAAAGUUUGGAUAACACAUUCGUUACACAUUUUUCACAAUGACAUCAUUCUCCAGAUUCUUUAAAAUGUUUUGUAAUUGAGCAAGUCAAAUUUGGUUCAUUUUAUAGUGGAAACAAACAAACUAAACUCUUACAAAGAGUGUCUUUUUGGAUUCAUGUUAACAUCUAACACACCUAAAGGUCUAAAUGAACGUCUAGAUUUAAGUUUGUUCUUGUAAGACUGCUGAAAUUUAAUCAUUAGACAAUAUUACACAUAAGGGUAAACAUGUGAUUAAUGUUGGUUCAUUAAUAUGGGUUUGGAGGACAGGAUGAUAACUUAAGGUUAAUUGAUGUUAUUGUGAUUUUGUGUUGGAAAUGUACAGACAAUAUGUCAUAACAGGUUGAUAUUUAUUAUAAAUGCCAUUGGAUGUAUAUGAAUGGUGUUGUAAUAUAGUACAUUCAGCCAAGUUUUCAGGCUUACUUUGUGAAACUUGUAGGACUACAUAACCUAAUGGAUACACCUUUAAGAAAUUUCAUGCUCUAGAUAAUAACCUGUAGCCUAUUGUAGAGGCAAAGUAUAUUGCAACAUACACUCUUUGUAAAUUCUUACUGAGCAAUCUUCUUAUUUGUCAAUCCAAACUGUUUGGAGACGUGGGUAAGCUAAGAUAUUGUUAUCUUGAUACUGUAUACCAUUAUGUAUCUUAUUGUCCCUGUUAAUUGCUGUACUAAUUUCUGUUAACUUUGUAUGUCUAGAAACAUGACAUACUUGCAAUGUUAGUCCGACAUUGAAUGAUUCAAGUUUGCUGAUGAAGACCAACUAAGGGUCGAAACGGCCUCAAAGCACUCCGGAGGUAGCCGUCUUUUCACCAUUAAAAAGGUAGAAUCAAGGAAGGACUCUGCUACCUGUGAAGACCGCACGCCAUAUUUUCAUGCCUCUUUGCUGCAAGCACCAAUGAUGAUUUUUUCAGUUUGAUUGUUGGGACUGGGUUGCUGCAGCUUUAUCACAUGGACUUGGCUGUACAGUGUUACUUAUGCAUAUACAGUUGUUCUAAUGUGUGUUAUGAAGAAACUAUAUUGCCAAUACAAACGUAUAUGUUUUGGUAAAUGAGA
This is a long non-coding RNA of Sceloporus undulatus (fence lizard), 3847 nucleotides long. RefSeq lists it as uncharacterized. Lineage: Eukaryota; Metazoa; Chordata; Lepidosauria; Squamata; Phrynosomatidae. The record is from RefSeq and is a predicted model, not a curated record. The transcript has 4 exons.